CCUACGGGUGGCAGCAGUGAGGAAUAUUGGUCAAUGGCCGGAAGGCUGAACCAGCCAUGCCGCGUGAAGGUCAGUGCCCUAUGGGCGUUAAACUUCUUUUGUGCGGGAGCAAUAAUGGUCACGUGUGGCCAGACGAGAGUACCGUACGAAUCAGCAUCGGCUAACUCCGUGCCAGCAGCCGCGGUAAUACGGGGGAUGCAAGCGUUAUCCGGAUUUAUUGGGUUUAAAGGGUGCGUAGGCUGUGAGGUAAGUCAGCGGUGAAAUGCCCCCGCUCAACGGGGUGAAGUGACAUUGAUACUGCCUGGCUGGAAUGCGGAUGCCGUGGGAGGAAUGUGUGGUGUAGCGGUGAAAUGCAUAGAUAUCACACAGAACACCGAUUGCGAAGGCAUCUCACGAAUCCGCGAUUGACGCUGAUGCACGAAAGCGUGGGUAUCAAACAGGAUUAGAUACCCUUGUAGUC
This 460-nucleotide ribosomal RNA is filed under the name uncultured bacterium. RNAcentral's name for it is "partial 16S ribosomal RNA". It matches the Rfam family "Bacterial small subunit ribosomal RNA", at positions 338 to 795 of the family's 1533-position model. The record is from RNAcentral.